UAUUGUUGUAUUGUUUGCCCCAGGCCAUACUAUAGGUAGCCGGCUAGCUUCUAGACUGACUACCUUGGGGGCUUGUGACCACCUCUGAUCCAAUCAACAGUCAUGCCACACAAAGGCCACCAUGUGGACCUGUGCAGAGCCUUGAACCUGGAAGCAUACGGAAUUUCUCAGGCUAGGGGUCAGUUUGGAGCUGCAGCUGUUAGCCUACACCACAGCCACAGCAACAUGGGAUCAAAGCCAUGUCUGAGACCUACAACACAGCUCAUAGCAACACCAGAUCCCUGACCCACUGACCAAGGCCAGAGAUUGAACCCGCAUCCUCAUGGAUACUAGUCAAUUCGUUUCUACUGCACCACAAGGGGAACUCCUCGUGUAUUCCUAUUUUUUAUUCUGAGCUAGUAUAUAAGCUACAUGAAGGCAGAAGCCAUUGUUUAAAGUUCUGUGUUCUCCAUAGCCCCUGGCACAGGGAAAGACUUGCAGAGUAAGCACUCAAUACAUAUUAAUGUAUUAAUUGCCUCUGGAACCUAGUUAAGACAACAACAACAACAAAAAAAAACAGGCUGUUCUUGGGACAAUUAACACUUGACCGAAUUUUCAUAUGCUUUCUAUGUCCCUCCUUCUGUAUUAUAAUCCUACUACAUAUUAUAUCUACUUAAAUAGCACCUCUUCCCACCAAGAUUUGAGGUAGUGUGUGGUUAUUUAUUUCCCCAAUAACAAUGCUUAGGCAGCAGAAGAUUCUGAAAAGAAAAACUCAUAGGUUAACUUUUACUAUGUGAGAAAAGAAGUUUCAAUAUAGGUUUAAAUAGGAGCCCGUGUGUAACCCUGAGUCAAUCAAACCACUUUAAUAUCUUUCGGCAUUCUGGCUCUUGGUCAUUCUGCUAACAUUUAGCCUUCCCAUGUGUACUAGUUGCCUAAUGUUUCCUAAAGGCCUAAACAGAGCCCCAGAAGUGGUGUGGUCACUUCACCAAAGUCUUCAUUUUCUAUCUAAUUCAGGGAUUGCCAGGAAUGUGAUGUUUGUGUCAUUAAAACUCACUUACACAACAGACUUUGAGAAAUCCAAUGUCGUUUCUUUCAAAGAUUAUACUUUAAGUCCUUUUCCAUUACUUUUGGCACAUUAAACAUUCUAAGUGGAUGCAAAAUAUAAAUAAUUGGGGACAUAAUGCAUGCAUGUAAAGGUAGCAUUCAUGCUAAUAAAAUAUCAGAGUAAUGUUUUCCUCCAUUGUCAUUAGAUAAGCAUUUCCUUUUUAACCAUUAAUUUGCUUAAUAAGCCUCCCUCUUUUAAAUAAAUCAUUAUAAAAAAUACAUUUCAACCCAUCUUCUUAAAUUGCUUCUUGGACCCAUGUAUUCUUUCUUUCUUUGGUCCCACAUAGGGGACUCUAUUUAUUUGCAUGUGUGCAGCCUCCAGGAUGUGGAUGGCCCCACAUCUUCAGAGUGACACCUCUGACCUGUGUUUCAGCUGCAUCUUCAGCCACUCUUCCAACAGUACUAGGCCCCUGCUUCUGGGUGGUGCAAUAUGUCAAACACCCCAAGUGUGUGGUAGGGAAAAGGGGUGAGCUACUUAUUUAUAUAUCCUACCUGUUCUAGAUCCUAGAUAUUCUGCUGCCAAUGUGCAAUGAGAAACUCCUGGGUGCACCUGAUUCUAUGACUUGGUAGUUCAGCAAGACCUUACAAAUGAUGGGAGGUUCUGAACUCAUGGCUACUUUGUGUCCACAUCAACAAGUAGUCUGUCUUCACAAGGUACUGUUAGGGUGCCUAGAGCUGUCUCAGAAGACACUAUGGCCUCACUCUAGAAACUUGGAGGUCUGUGUUUUUAUUCUCACACUGAUAGGAUUUGUCUAAUCAUAUAGCCCAAGAAACAGAUCUGCUUGUGCUGCAACCUAGACAUGCCAUGACACCUUUCUUAUUUCAGAGCCCAUUCAAAGAUGGCAGGCUUUUACACCACCAAGUAUGUGGGUCCAAGCACCAUUACAAAAUUUGGAAUGCAGUGCCUUCAAAACUCCAAUGCCAUCAACGAAUUAAGUUCUGUAAUGGUUUUUGCUAUUAUCAUGCCUGAUGUGCAAAAGAAAGCCAGUACCAAAAUGCUUAAUGAUUCUGGUGUGCCUUUUGCAAGAGCACCGUCCUGACAACCUUGGUAAAUAUAUGUCCUUUGCCCCUUCCCACAGAACAUCCUCUAGCGGAUAUUCUGGCCUCACAUAAUAUCUCCACUCCAGCAUGCCCACUUCCUUGAAACUUCAGUUUCCUUUCUGCAGUAUCUACAGUGAUAAUGCUGGCAUUUCCACUUUACUCUGCCUGGCUUAUCAUUUUCUUUUCUUUUUUUUUUUUUCUUUUUAUGGCCACACAUGCAGCACAUGAAAGUUCCUGGGCCAGGAGUUGAAUCAGAACUGCAACUGCUGGCCUACACCACAGCCACAGCAACACCAAAUCUGAGCUGUAACUGCAACCUAUAUCACAGCUUAUGGCAACUCUGGAUGCUUAACCCACUAAGGAAGGCCAGGGAUAACCCUUAUUCUCACAGAAACACUGGAUCCUUAACCCGCUGAGCCACAAUAGGAACUCUGGGUUAUGGUUUUCUCUUGGUUCUAGAAGUCACUCGAGCAGUGAGUUUGCACUGUGCCCUUUUCCAAGGUAGUAAAUCAUUGUUCUAAAAAAGUGCCUCCCAGACAGUUAAUUAUUUUUCACCCAAUCUAUGCUCUGGCCCCUCAAGAAUCCUCAAAAUCCAGUACCAUGGGCACUUCCCUCAAUGUUAUAGUACAUGCUGGCUGGGUCUGGUAAAUCCCUCAGAGUAUAAUGGCAUUCCUCCCUUAUUAGACCAAGGACAUUCCUGACUGGCAUAUGCUAUAUGAAUGAACCCUAGAUAUAGGCCUAGCAGCUAAGAGAAGAGGUGGAGCCUUAUCUUGAUGGAGGCAGAGCAAAGGCUGUUACCUUGCAGGAGACCAGCCCAUAGUGGUUUCUCACAUGAAAGAGGUGUAUAUAGCUCUUACUAGGAAAGGGAACACCUCUGCAAGCUCUGAGAAUUCAGAGGUAUAUGAAGAGUCAUUAUCUGGGAGAUGAGCAAAACACUUUCCCCCUUCCCAUGUGUCAGGAUGGGGACAGUUUUCUCAACCAGUGCCCUCACUUUAGCAUAACAGACCUGCCUCAGCGGAAUAAUCAAUCAUCUUUGAAGCUCAGGACACUAUUUAAUCUUGAUUAUGGUCUUUUUUUCUUACCCAACACUGAGAUACAGGCCUCUUCAUAAGCUAUCAAAAAAGGGUUUCAGACUUCCCUAGCUAUCAAUUUUUAACUGCCUUUGGCUUUUCACUAUCCCUCUAAUGAGCAACUUAAUAACAAAUAGCCAGUUCCGUUUUCCUUGAAUAGAUGUUUUUCCUCCUGCACUUUUUUAAAUGCCUAAACCAUUAUAUUGGAACACCUCUCAAUUCACCAGGGAAAGUGUUUGCAGUUGGGCCAACAUCUUGUGUCAGAGACUCUUUCUGCCCCUACACACCAUCUGGAUAGGGUUCUCACUGCCAAUCAGGCAGUGAGUGAUCCAGGCCCAAAACUUCAUCUUACCACCUGUUUUCUUUAAGCACUUCUGGAACCACUGUGUCACCUGGGUCCUCUAGGAAGCAGAUAGAUGCUGAUAAAGAGUUAAGAAAGCAGGCUGAAGAGAAAUACCUGUGGAAAGAAAGGGUAGGAGAUAGGAUUGAACAGGGAGAGAUGGCAGACCAUAAUGCAUGUUGGACAAUUUCUCUGCCUGUCCAGUGAGACUCUUGGAAGCCAAGGUCACCAAUUAGAGGAGUCCAGCUCAAAGGCUGAGGUGGAUCUGAGGAAGUAAACAGCAGGAGGCUGCCAGUGAACCACACUCCUUACAACUGAGCAACAUGCCCUUCCUUUGAAGGAGGAUCUGAACAAGGCAUCUCUAGGUCUGCCCCCAUGAUAUCUGAAAAAAUAAGGUUUUACCCUACAUGUGGGCUGAAUAUAUAUCAACCUAAUUAAGGCCAGACUGCCCCUUGUGGGUAUUUGAACAAAUUCUACAUGGCUUACUGAGGUCCUCAACCCUCCUUCAUCUCCAAAUGCCUCUAAUUUCCUCUGAGUUUUUCCCUAGUGUAUGCCCAGAUAUCUUCUUGACAUCUCCAUGUCAAAGGAGAUUAGGAAUAACCUUAGAUAGAGAGACAAGUUUAAAUAGUAUUCUCACCUUUAAAACUACAUCCUGUUUUCUAACUAGUUUGCUCAGAAGAGGAAGUCAAAUGACCUGCAGUUGAGUCAACCAAAACACUAAGUCCUCACUGCAAAUUCUCCCAUCAGGCUCUGAAUGGCAAAGCACUCCCAAGUCAGUAUUUUAAAGGUUAUAUUACACUGAUCAUAGUAAAAAAAAAAAAAUGCUGAAGAUAAAAAUAACAGCUUAAGCCCCAAUGUUAUGAUAUUAAUGUUGUUUCUGGGUGUACACAGAAAAUUCUAUUAUCCUGAAGGACCAGGGUGAGGAAGACAUUCAUACUACAAGUUCCAGCCUGAGAGCUUUUGCUCAAGGGAACACUUCCUUGGGAGCUAAAAACAAUAUCGUUUUCAGGAGCUUCCCCAUUUGCUGACAUUUUAGGGAAGCUUUGGACAUGCUCAAAAAGUAUGACUCUAGCCCACAAGAACUUAAGUCUCUUCUCCCAAGGAGAACUGUUAUGCAUUAAAGAACAUGCCCAACCUGGAUAGAAAAUAAUGCGUACUUGUAAUUAGGUUAAAUGCUAAUGUUAUCAAUGAAUAAUCUGGUCCUGAAGCUUGGAAAAGAAAGUAAAAAUGUGGGGUAACCACUGGAGGAAAAAAAAAGAAAUAAUAGGAGUUCCUGUCGUGGCUCAGGGGUACGAAUGCAUCUAGCACCCAUGAGGACAUGAGUUCAAUCCCUGGCCUCGCUCAGUGAGUUAAGGAUCUGGCAUUGCCGUGAGCUGUGGUGUAGGUGGCAGAUGCAGCUCAGAUCCUGCAUGUGGUGGCUCUGUGGCUCUGGCAUAGGCUGGCAGCUACAGCUCCAAUUCGACCCCUAGCCUGGCAACCUCCAUAUGCUG
This 5024-nucleotide long non-coding RNA is filed under the name Sus scrofa (pig). RNAcentral's name for it is "lncRNA (ENSSSCG00000060095.1, ENSSSCG00130036536.1)". The record is from RNAcentral. Lineage: Eukaryota; Metazoa; Chordata; Mammalia; Artiodactyla; Suidae.